ACCUCUGACGAUUGCCAUUGAACAGGCGGAUCCCCCUAGGAAGAAUACAUGUUUUCUUUCAGGAAGUUCUCCUUAAGUUUCUUUCCUUGCUUCAUUUUUACAGGUUGUUUUCACUUGCCAUGGCGUUCUUCUGAAAACUUGACUUUUUCCAUGUCAUACUUCUUGCCCUGCUUUUAUGUUCAGCAGCUUUGGAGAGAGUGGGACUGUCAGAGGGAGACGGCACUUGAUUAAAUCUGCCUCCCGCUGAGCUUUGAUAAUUUCAAUAUUACAGAGCCGUCGAUCAAGACCGGGGUGGAAAAUGGAGGAAUGCUGAACCUACAGCAAAGCUUCGUUUACGUUUUCCAAGGUUUGUGUAUCUCCAAAGUUUGAAAAGCUGGAUUUCAUAAUCACACAGUGACUGCGCAUAAGGAUUUAAAGGGCCACCAUUGUGAUGUUCAGCAACCUCAUCUGCGCCAAUCUGCCAACCAAAACCACGACAGACGCCGUCGCUCGUCGCUAACCCCGAAAACAGCUCAAACUCACAAUCGUGUUGAUAGAAGAUGAACAAAUGCUUGCUGAGAAACAUGACAAAGCUGAAGCGUUCACAAGACUUCUUCGACUCUGGCCUUCGGUGAAGUGUUUCGAGGUCGUGUGUGAAAGAGACUAACAGAAUAAAGUGUAACAGCCUCUUGAAGGGCUCGGCUCCUCUUUACAGACAGAUGGACCAGAAAGUGAGAGAGAGGACACCUGCUGGUCCACACUGCUACCCCCCUUCCCGAUUCUUCUUUUCUCUUCUCUCUCUCUCUCUCUCUCUCUCUCUCUCUCUCUCUCUCUUUGCAUUAGAAUUCAGCUUCUCGUCUGACUGAGUGGGUUACUGAAGCGUGUCACAGUAAGAACCGGCGAAUGAUAAUGAACUGAACGUGUGCGAGAGGGUGGGGCCGAGGGUGGAGAUUGGAGAGGAUUCCGGUAAGCAGCUUCUCGCUGCGAGAGAAAGAGAGCGAGAGACGAGGCUGUCGACUGAAUCACCAACACCUCCGCCACUUCACCACCCCUUUCUCUCUCCGCUCGGCACGGGGGAGUGAGUGUGGGUCGGGACGCCCCGCUACGUUCCCUCUCCCCCUUCGCCGUCCUCCACCGGCAGACCCACUUCUCCAAAUGAAUCCAUUCAUCAUAUUCUCUUUUUGUCAUUUUCAUGUCAGCCUCCCUCUGCUGUAUUACGGUUAUCAUUAUUUUAUGUUCUCUCUCCCUUGUUCUUUUUUCAAGCUCUCCCACACGCCGCUAUCCCACUCGUUUUGUCACGGCCGAGGAAAAGAAAAUGAUCGGCCGGAGAGCCCGGAGAGGCAAAGACGAACGUUGGAACGAGAAGAGCUGUGUCCGGACGGGGAGCGAAAAAGUAAGAGGCGGCACUGGCAGAAGCCUCUUCGUUGGCCGGUCCCCUCCGUCUGAUGGAUUAUCCCGAGUGGAGAACUCCGAACAGGGACAAAAAGAGAAGAAAAGAGCAGCACUGAAAACACGUUUGGAGAGGGACUUUGUGAAGAAUUGAUCUUUUUCUUUUCUAAAAUAUAAAAUUCUGAUAUUUCUCCGUUCAACUUGCUCUCCUGUGUUUUAGUUUCUUCGUUCCGAACGCUCCCCCCGUCUUGUUCGGGACGUUUUGGGUGCUCAUUGUGAAGAAUUCUCUGGACUGUGUGCUGAAAAGCACUUUUCAAUCGAACGAAUUCCUUUCUAAACCCCUAAAAGAGCUUUUUUCUUCUUGUGCUCUCUCCUUUUGAGACCAAAAUAAUUGGAGCUGCAGACUCCACUGUAAUCGUGCCAUAGGAGCAAGUUGGGCCAAUCCGGACGCAACACCUGGAGCCAUUUUCUUCCCAAAUCACUUCAUUAUAUCGAGGGGGGCACCAACCACCCAAGCCUUGGGUCUUAGUGAUCCGGAUGUGCUGGAGAGAAAGUAAAUAAGAAAUGGAGAAAGAGAGACCUCCAAGAAGAUGAAAGCAGAGGUGAUAUUUUCAGAACAGAAAUGGGUGAAGAGAAAGUCGGCCAUAUCUGAGAAGACGUCACAAUGAAGGACAGAUUGGUUUCUGAAACAAUACGCUGAAAAGUUGCAGUGUAGACGCACAACACAGUUAGAAUAGAUGAAUUAUCUCUUCUGUUACUGCCAAGUUUUAAGAUAAAGCGUUGUGCGUUUUCCACUCACAGAAGAAACUCGGCCAAGUCUGGGAUCCUUUUUUUCUCACAGUAUUGUACUUUUUCCCAGCCUUUCUCCCCCCAUGUUAAGUCAUUCACUGGGGUACUUUGCACCCCCCCUCGCUGCUAGCUGAAAGCUGUUGAUCGCUAAUCCACGGCUAUUUCAUCAGAUCCUCUCACUGAUUUCUACAUUGAUUUGCCGUCUACUUCAGAACCUCUCCGGCUCCCUCCUCUCGCCUUUUCACUUUCCUUCAUCCACUUCUCGCUCUCUCUCCCCCUCCCUCUCUCUCUCUCCCUCCCUCCCUCUCUCUCUCUCGCCCUGCCUCAUUGUCUCUGUGUGCGGCAACGGUGCCUCUGGAAGCCAGUCUGUUUCACCGCUCGCCCGAUAGAGGAAGGA
Triplophysa rosa is the source of this 2554-nucleotide long non-coding RNA. RefSeq lists it as uncharacterized. The record is from RefSeq and is a predicted model, not a curated record. The transcript has 5 exons. NCBI's taxonomy places the organism in Eukaryota, Metazoa, Chordata, Actinopteri, Cypriniformes, Nemacheilidae.